GUAGGCGGCUCGAUAAGUAUGGUGUGAAAUCUCCCGGCUUAACUGGGAGGGUGCGCUAUAGACUGCCGGGCUAGAGUGUGGGAGAGGAAAGUGGAAUUCCUGGUGUAGCGGUGAAAUGCGUAGAUAUCAGGAGGAACACCGGUGGUGUAAACGGCUUUCUGGACCAUAACUGACGCUGAGGCACGAAAGCGUGGGUAGCAAACAGGAUUAGAUACCCUGGUAGUCCACGCCCUAAACGAUGCAUAUUUGGUGUGGGUCAUUCAGUUGAUCCGUGCCGGAGCUAACGCGUUAAAUAUGCCGCCUGGGGAGUACAGUCGCAAGGCUGAAACUCAAAGGAAUUGACGGGGGCCCGCACAAGCGGUGGAGCAUGUGGUUUAAUUCGACGCAACGCGAAGAACCUUACCUGGGCUCGAAAUGCUGUGGACCAGCUUAUGAAAGUAGGCCUUCCCGCAAGGGACCGCAGUAUAGGUGCUGCAUGGCUGUCGUCAGCUCGUGUCGUGAGAUGUUGGGUUAAGUCCCGCAACGAGCGCAACCCUUGUCCUGUGUUGCCAUACCGAAAGGUGGAACUCGCAGGAGACCGCCAGGGAUAACCUGGAGGAAGGUGGGGAUGACGUCAAGUCCUCAUGGCCUUUAUGUCCAGGGCUACACACGUGCUACAAUGGACGGUACAAAGGGCUGCCAACCCGCGAGGGGGAGCCAAUCCCAAAAAACCGUUCUCAGUUCGGAUUGCAGGCUGCAACUCGCCUGCAUGAAGCUGGAAUCGCUAGUAAUGGCGGAUCAGAACGCCGCCGUGAAUACGUUCCCGGGCCUUGUACACACCGCCCGUCACAUCACGAAAGUGGGUUGUACUAGAAG
This 855-nucleotide ribosomal RNA is filed under the name uncultured bacterium. RNAcentral describes it as "bacterial SSU rRNA". It matches the Rfam family "Bacterial small subunit ribosomal RNA", at positions 571 to 1426 of the family's 1533-position model. The record is from RNAcentral.